RNAcentral lists this ribosomal RNA (254 nucleotides) under uncultured bacterium. RNAcentral's name for it is "partial 16S ribosomal RNA". It matches the Rfam family "Bacterial small subunit ribosomal RNA", at positions 524 to 776 of the family's 1533-position model. The record is from RNAcentral.
GACGAACCGUGCGAACGUUAUUCGGAAUCACUGGGCUUAAAGCGCGUGUAGGUGGGACGUCACGUCGGUCGCUGAAAGCCCCCGGCUCAACCGGGGAACGGGCGCCGAUACGACCGCCCUCGAGGAACGUAGGGGGAGCUGGAACUUCCGGUGGAGCGGUGAAAUGCGUUGAGAUCGGAAGGAACGCCCGUGGCGAAAGCGAGGUCCUGGACGUUUACUGACGCUGAGACGCGAAAGCCAGGGGAGCGAACCGG